RNAcentral lists this transfer RNA (77 nucleotides) under Desulfovibrio sp. Its description in RNAcentral is "tRNA-Arg". It matches the Rfam family "tRNA". From Rfam's summary of the family: Transfer RNA (tRNA) molecules are approximately 80 nucleotides in length. Their secondary structure includes four short double-helical elements and three loops (D, anti-codon, and T loops). Further hydrogen bonds mediate the characteristic L-shaped molecular structure. tRNAs have two regions of fundamental functional importance: the anti-codon, which is responsible for specific mRNA codon recognition, and the 3' end, to which the tRNAs corresponding amino acid is attached (by aminoacyl-tRNA synthetases). tRNAs cope with the degeneracy of the genetic code in two manners: having more than one tRNA (with a specific anti-codon) for a particular amino acid; and 'wobble' base-pairing, i.e. permitting non-standard base-pairing at the 3rd anti-codon position. Lineage: Bacteria; Pseudomonadati; Thermodesulfobacteriota; Desulfovibrionia; Desulfovibrionales; Desulfovibrionaceae. The record is from RNAcentral.
GCGCCCGUAGCUCAGCAGGAUAGAGCGAUCGCCUCCUAAGCGAUAGGCCGUGUGUUCAAUUCACGCCGGGCGCGCCA